RNAcentral lists this long non-coding RNA (1498 nucleotides) under Chrysemys picta bellii (western painted turtle). RNAcentral's name for it is "lncRNA (ENSCPBG00000019910.1)". Lineage: Eukaryota; Metazoa; Chordata; Testudines; Emydidae. The record is from RNAcentral.
GAAGUUUGCUGCUGCGCUUUGCCUCCUUCCCCGCUAGUUACUGUUGCCGUGUCUCUGCCGCUGCCAGGGCCAGGACAAAGGCACAUUAACACGUGAUGGGGACGGAGCUUCAUAAAUGGGACCCGAGAGAAAGAGGGGGGUGCGAGGAGCCAGGCUGGGAGGCGAGGCGCGGACACACACACUCAGCCGGGGCCGGGCGCGCAGCAGCUGCAGCAGCAGAGGAGGAGUGGGGGCGGCUUCCUCCCAGCCAGGGGCAGGAGCAGCGCAUGGAGAGCAGCGCCCGGCAAGCUGCCUGAGCCUGCCUGCUGUCCUUCCCCAGCUCCUAGCACCGCCUCCUCUCCUCUCCUCGCCUCUCUCCGGCGCCCCAGGCCCGGGCGGGGCGGGGCGGCCCGCGUGCUCCCCGCUGGGGGGUGGCUGUAGUAAGCGUGGGAACGCGUCUCAGUCCCGCGGAGGAGCCGCCGCGCCACUUGGCAAGACCACGAGGCAGGCGAGAAGGAGCAGCGCCCCGGAGCAGGAGCCGAGCCGGGGCGAUGUGAAGGGGCUUGGAAACCUAGUUCUGGUCUAGGCAGCUGUACUGUUCACCACCAUUUAUAAUAAGGUAAUUAUUAAACUAAAUGUUAAUUGUAUAAGCCUGUUCUAAUUCAUUUAGGCUAUCAUAUACUAUAGUAGAACUUAUUUAUCUAACAUUUUUUGACUACCUAGUCAUGAUGGUAAAUUAUUAUUGUUGUUGUUAUUACUAUUAUUUCUACUGGGUUGGGUCCAUGGGACCAGUCAAGGUUGUAGUCCCAUUCUGCUUGGCAUUGUACAAACACAUAGGAUACAAUUUCUAACCCAAAGAGCUUAUAACCUAAAAUGUGAGCAACAUAUGAAGACUCGGGGAGAGGAUUACGAUCCAAAUAUAUGAUUUUAUAUACAUAUUUCAAUGCAUUUAAAAAAAUAUAUUUCAACUAUACAAGAUGCCCUUUGACCAAUUCUUAAUUAUCUGUAAAUCUCAUGGAAGAACUGUGUAAAAUGGAAAUCCAAAUAUUUUACAAAAUGGAAAUUAGUGAAUCAUGAUUAUUAUCAUUGUAUUAUUUUAGUAUUGUUUGUUUUGACUUCUUGUUCUCAGCAUAUCUGCAGUUUUUAGCAGCACUGUCAUAUUACUUUUUUUAGGAAGAAUGUUACUAUUUAUUUUUAUUAGGUUAUUAAAAUUGCUCUGUCAAUCAUUUUGCCUUGAAGAAAAAUUCAGCUUUUGUAGAUGAUGGCAAUAAUUGUAAUAACCUGCCUACUGCAAAAAGAAUAGAGAAUUGUUAUUCAUAUUCUUGUAGUAUUCUUGUGCCCUGAGUAAAUGAGCUUUGCAUGGGGAACCUACGCAAGGUUUAGGAGAGAGUUGAUCCUCCUGUAAUCCAACCAUGAAUUUACACAGCCUUUCCAUGAUCACUACUGCAUACAGCUUCUGGGUUCUAGUAACAUCUAUGUAACCCUUAAGAGGCUUUACAUGACUAUGCAAUGGGGAGCA